AUGGGCAACUGCAAGAAUUCAUCUCGUGCACUCCUAGGAAAGGUCCAUGUUGAUCCGGACUCAGAAUGGAGGAUGCAGGACUUUGGAAAGACCCAUGUUCCAGAUUUAGAAUGGAGGAUUAAUGACUUCUCAUCGCUGGUUGAGACAGGAGCUAAGUCAGCAACAUCUGACACUUUUCACUGCUCUGGGUAUAACUGGCACCUGGAAGUGAAAUCAAUGCAUAAAAAAGCUGGUUCGGCAAUGCCAUAUGUUGCUCUUCGUCUUGUGGCAUUCCGACCAAGCUUGGUGCCAGGUCACAUGGUGCAUGCGGUGUUUGAGUUGUCAAUAUACAACCAUUCAAGAGGAAUGUACUGUGGUUGCAAAGCUAGCUACAACUUUGAUUUCAAGAAUAUCUUCUCGAAGGAGCAUUGCUUGAUUCCUCUUCAGGAGCUACUGAAAUCAUCUGCUUUUCUAGUUGAUGAUAGCUGUGUCUUCGGUGUGGAGAUAUUAAAAAUUGAUGUCUCUUCUCCUGAAAAGAACGCUGUUGUGGUUCAGAAGAAGCCUACGACAGUUCAGAACCUCUUUGUUCAGAAGAAGGGGUUCGUCAAAGGGACAUACACUUGGAACAUGAACAAUUUCCUUGAACUGGACUUGGAUCACUUUGUCCGUUCUCCUACAUUUGAAGUUGGUGGGCAUAAAUGGUACGUCCGCAUGUAUCCGCGGUGA
RNAcentral lists this ribosomal RNA (705 nucleotides) under Triticum aestivum (bread wheat). RNAcentral's name for it is "partial small subunit ribosomal RNA". The record is from RNAcentral. Lineage: Eukaryota; Viridiplantae; Streptophyta; Magnoliopsida; Poales; Poaceae.